RNAcentral lists this ribosomal RNA (252 nucleotides) under uncultured bacterium. Its description in RNAcentral is "partial 16S ribosomal RNA". It matches the Rfam family "Bacterial small subunit ribosomal RNA", at positions 525 to 776 of the family's 1533-position model. The record is from RNAcentral.
ACGGAGGGUGCAAGCGUUGUCCGGAUUUAUUGGGUUUAAAGGGUGCGUAGGCGGUCUGUUAAGUCAGUGGUGAAAUCCCUCAGCUCAACUGAGGAACUGCCAUUGAUACUGACAGACUUGAGUACGGACGAGGUAGGCGGAAUUUAUGGUGUAGCGGUGAAAUGCAUAGAUACCAUAAAGAACACCGAUAGCGAAGGCAGCUUACUAGACCGUAACUGACGCUCAGGCACGAAAGCGUGGGGAGCGAACAGG